GUUGUGAACUCGAAGAGUAGGGCGGGACACGUGGUAUCCUGUCUGAAUAUGGGGGGACCAUCCUCCAAGGCUAAAUACUCCUGACUGACCGAUAGUGAACCAGUACCGUGAGGGAAAGGCGAAAAGAACCCCGGCGAGGGGAGUGAAAAAGAACCUGAAACCGUGUACGUACAAGCAGUGGGAGCAUCCUUCGGGGUGUGACUGCGUACCUUUUGUAUAAUGGGUCAGCGACUUAUAUUCUGUAGCAAGGUUAACCGUAUAGGGGAGCCGAAGGGAAACCGAGUCUUAACUGGGCGUUAAGUUGCAGGGUAUAGACCCGAAACCCGGUGAUCUAGCCAUGGGCAGGUUGAAGGUUGGGUAACACUAACUGGAGGACCGAACCGACUAAUGUUGAAAAAUUAGCGGAUGACUUGUGGCUGGGGGUGAAAGGCCAAUCAAACCGGGAGAUAGCUGGUUCUCCCCGAAAGCUAUUUAGGUAGCGCCUCGUGAACUCAUCUUCGGGGGUAGAGCACUGUUUCGGCUAGGGGGUCAUCCCGACUUACCAACCCGAUGCAAACUGCGAAUACCGAAGAAUGUUAUCACGGGAGACACACGGCGGGUGCUAACGUCCGUCGUGAAGAGGGAAACAACCCAGACCGCCAGCUAAGGUCCCAAAGUCAUGGUUAAGUGGGAAACGAUGUGGGAAGGCACAGACAGCCAGGAUGUUGGCUUAGAAGCAGCCAUCAUUUAAAGAAAGCGUAAUAGCUCACUGGUCGAGUCGGCCUGCGCGGAAGAUGUAACGGGGCUAAACCAUGCACCGAAGCUGCGGCAGCGACACUAUGUGUUGUUGGGUAGGGGAGCGUUCUGUAAGCCGUUGAAGGUGGCCUGUGAGGGCUGCUGGAGGUAUCAGAAGUGCGAAUGCUGACAUAAGUAACGAUAAUGCGGGUGAAAAACCCGCACGCCGGAAGACCAAGGGUUCCUGUCCAACGUUAAUCGGGGCAGGGUGAGUCGACCCCUAAGGCGAGGCCGAAAGGCGUAGUCGAUGGGAAACAGGUUAAUAUUCCUGUACUUGGUGUUACUGCGAAGGGGGGACGGAGAAGGCUAUGUCGGCCGGGCGACGGUUGUCCCGGUUUAAGC
RNAcentral lists this ribosomal RNA (1116 nucleotides) under Citrobacter sp. wls717. RNAcentral's name for it is "partial 23S ribosomal RNA". It matches the Rfam family "Bacterial large subunit ribosomal RNA", at positions 396 to 1517 of the family's 2925-position model. The record is from RNAcentral. Lineage: Bacteria; Pseudomonadati; Pseudomonadota; Gammaproteobacteria; Enterobacterales; Enterobacteriaceae.